UCACAAUAUUCAUCUGGAGGUAUAUAAGGAAAAUGAUGAAACAGGUACUAACUGUUUAUCUGACUGAAUCUAAUUUGAAAACCAUGUCAAACUUGUACAAAGUAUGCCAUAAUUUACAUUAAAGGACAUGUGAUGAUGCUCCAAGACUUGAUCCAGUGGCCAGUUCUAGAGUAAGACCAGCCUAUGAUGCCAGGAAGCGACCACGAGACCGGUCCUCAGCACAUUCAAGUUCAGAGUCACACAGCUCAGACAGUGAUAGUGGUCAUCAUUCUCACCGAAGACGUAAGAGAACAAGGCAUUCCUACCCUGAUACUAGUUCCCGGUUUCUGUACGACAGGCGUGAAGAAAAUGGUCACAGUCAUCGUCACAAAUCCAAAAGAUCUCACCAUACAAGGAGGCACAGGUCUGAAUCCCCGAAACACCGUGGUGGUAGCAAUAGUCGUAGUAAGAGAGAAGUUAAAAUUGUAGAGAAUGUAUAGAUAGUUUACUGAGAUAUUACAUACCUAAAUGAAUGGAUGUACAAUGUACAUUACUGCGGUGAGAUUUUAUAAACUGUUGGUUUAGUGGCCAAUAACAAAGUUUGAAAAGAGACACUUCAGGGAAGGCGAUAUGUUAUUGUAUACAUGUACAUAAACAGCUGUUAAAGUUUGUUGAUUUUUUUCUUUUCAUUAUUUGUUAAACUUACCGGUAUAUUGUUGUUUUCUUUCUGAAGUAGUGAAAAGGAUGCUGCUUUUUAGCUAACCUGUCACAAAGUGACAGGGUGAGCUUUUGUGAUCGCUUUUCGUCCGGCGUCCGUCCGUCGUCCGUCCGUCCGUAAACUUUUGCUUAAAAUGACAUCUCCUCAUAAACCACUGAGCCAAUUUCAUCCAAACUUCACAGGAAUGUUCCUUUGGUGGUCACCUUUAAAAAUUGUUCAAAGAAUUUAAUUCCAUGCAGAACUCUGGUUGCCAUGGCAACCAAAAGAAAAACUUUAAAUAUCUUCUUUUAAAAAACCAUAAGAGCUAGAGCUUAGAUAUUUGGCAUGAAACAUCUUCUAGUGAGUGUCUACCAAGUUUGUUCAAAUAAAAGUCCUGGGGUCAAAAUUGGCCCUGCCCGGGGAGGGGGGUCAUUGAUUUUUUCCUUUAUGCAUAAAGUAAAAACUUAAAAAAUCUUCUUUUAAAGAACCCAAAGAGCUAGAGCUAAGAUAUUUAGCAUGAAACAUGUUCUAAUGAGUGUCUACCAAGUUUGUUCAAAUAAUAGCCCUGUGGUCAAAAUUGGCCCUGCCCCUGGGGGUCAUAGAUUUUCCCUAUAUGCAUAUAGUAAAAACUUAAAAAAUCUUCUUUUAAAGAACCGUUAGAGCUAGAGCUUAGAUACUUGGCAUGAAACAUACAUCUUCUAGUGAAUGUCUACCAAGUUUGUUCAAAUAAAAGCCCUGGGAUCAAAACUGGCCGGGGGGGGUCAUUGAUUUUCCCUAUAUGCAUAUAGUAAAAACUUAAAAAAUCUUCUUUUAAAGAACCCAAAGAGCUAGAGCUUAGAUAUUUUGCAUGAAACAUCUUCUAGUGAAUGUCUACCAAGUUUGUUCAAAUAAAGGCCCUGGGGUCAAAAUUGACCCCGCCCCAGGGGGUCAUAGAUUUUCCCUAUAUGCAUAUAGUAAAAACUUAAAAAUCUUCUUUUAAAGAACCCAAAGAGCUAGAGCUAAGAUAUUUAGCAUGAAACAUUUUCUAAUGAGUGUCUACCAAGUUUGUUCAAAUAAAAGCCCUGGGGUCAAAAUUGGCCCCGCCCCAGGGGUCAUUGAUUUUCCCUAUAUGCAUAUAGUAAAAACUUAAAAAAUCUUCUUUUAAAGAACUCAAAGAGCUAGAGCUAAGAUAUUUAGCAUGAAACAUGUUCUAAUGGGUGUCUACCAAGUAU
Long non-coding RNA from Ruditapes philippinarum (Manila clam), 1887 nucleotides. RefSeq lists it as uncharacterized. The transcript has 2 exons. Lineage: Eukaryota; Metazoa; Mollusca; Bivalvia; Venerida; Veneridae. The record is from RefSeq and is a predicted model, not a curated record.